GAUGAACGCUGGCGGCGUGCUUAACACAUGCAAGUCGAACGAAGCACUUUAUUUGAUUUCCUUCGGGACUGAUUAUUUUGUGACUGAGUGGCGGACGGGUGAGUAACGCGUGGGUAACCUGCCGUGUACAGGGGGUUAACAGUUGGAAACGGCUGCUAAUACCGCAUAAGCGCACGGCAUCGCAUGAUGCAGUGUGAAAAACUCCGGUGGUAUAAGAUGGACCCGCGUUGGAUUAGCUAGUUGGUGAGGUAACGGCCCACCAAGGCGGCGAACCAUAGCCGAGAUGGGAGGGGGCCCGACUAGAAUUGGGCUAAGACACAGACCACACUCCUACGGGAAGGAGCAGUGGGGAAUACUGCACGAUGGGCGAAAGCGUGACGCAGCGACGCCGCGUAAGCGAAGAAGUAGGUCGGUAUGUAAAGCUCUAUCAGCAGGGAAGUUAAUGACGGUACCUGAAGAAGAAGCACCGGCUAAAUACGUG
Molecule: ribosomal RNA, 481 nt
Filed under: uncultured bacterium
Lineage: Bacteria
Description: partial 16S ribosomal RNA
Rfam family: Bacterial small subunit ribosomal RNA
Source: RNAcentral